Molecule: ribosomal RNA, 550 nt
Filed under: Septoglomus viscosum
Lineage: Eukaryota; Fungi; Glomeromycota; Glomeromycetes; Glomerales; Glomeraceae
Description: SSU rRNA
Rfam family: Eukaryotic small subunit ribosomal RNA
Source: RNAcentral
UUGGAGGGCAAGUCUGGUGCCAGCAAGCCGCGGUAAUUCCAGCUCCAAUAGCGUAUAUUAAAGUUGUUGCAGUUAAAAAGCUCGUAGUUGAACUUCGGGAUCAAUGGAUCGGUCAUGCCAUCGGUAUGUACUGGUCUCAUUGGUUCUCACCUUCUAAGGAACCAUAAUGUCAUUCAUUUGAUGUUGUGGGAAUUAGGACUGUUACCUUGAAAAAAUUAGAGUGUUUAAAGCAGGCUAACGCUUGAAUACAUUAGCAUGGAAUAAUGAAAUAGGACAUCGCAUUCUAUUUUGUUGGUUUCUAGGAUCGAUGUAAUGAUUAAUAGGGAUAGUUGGGGGCAUUAGUAUUCAAUUGUCAGAGGUGAAAUUCUUGGAUUUAUUGAAGACUAACUACUGCGAAAGCAUUUGCCAAGGAUGUUUUCAUUAAUUAAGAACGAAAGUUAGGGGAUUGAAGACCAUCAGAUACCGUUGUAGUCUUAACCAUAAACUAUGCCGACUAGGGAUCGGAUGAUGUUAAUUUUUUAAUGACUCAUUCGGCGCCUUACGGGAAACA